GACUUACGUUGAAAAGUGAGCGGAUGAACUGAGGGUAGCGGAGAAAUUCCAAUCGAACCUGGAGAUAGCUGGUUCUCUCCGAAAUAGCUUUAGGGCUAGCCUCAAGUGAUGAUUAUUGGAGGUAGAGCACUGUUUGGACGAGGGGCCCCUCUCGGGUUACCGAAUUCAGACAAACUCCGAAUGCCAAUUAAUUUAACUUGGGAGUCAGAACAUGGGUGAUAAGGUCCGUGUUCGAAAGGGAAACAGCCCAGACCACCAGCUAAGGUCCCAAAAUAUAUGUUAAGUGGAAAAGGAUGUGGCGUUGCCCAGACAACUAGGAUGUUGGCUUAGAAGCAGCCAUCAUUUAAAGAGUGCGUAAUAGCUCACUAGUCGAGUGACACUGCGCCGAAAAUGUACCGGGGCUAAACAUAUUACCGAAGCUGUGGAUUGUCCUUUGGACAAUGGUAGGAGAGCGUUCUAAGGGCGUUGAAGCAUGAUCGUAAGGACAUGUGGAGCGCUUAGAAGUGAGAAUGCCGGUGUGAGUAGCGAAAGACGGGUGAGAAUCCCGUCCACCGAUUGACUAAGGUUUCCAGAGGAAGGCUCGUCCGCUCUGGGUUAGUCGGGUCCUAAGCUGAGGCCGACAGGCGUAGGCGAUGGAUAACAGGUUGAUAUUCCUGUACCACCUAUAAUCGUUUUAAUCGAUGGGGGGACGCAGUAGGAUAGGCGAAGCGUGCGAUUGGAUUGCACGUCUAAGCAGUAAGGCUGAGUAUUAGGCAAAUCCGGUA
Molecule: ribosomal RNA, 764 nt
Filed under: Staphylococcus aureus
Lineage: Bacteria; Bacillati; Bacillota; Bacilli; Caryophanales; Staphylococcaceae
Description: partial 23S ribosomal RNA
Rfam family: Bacterial large subunit ribosomal RNA
Source: RNAcentral